This 66-nucleotide transfer RNA is filed under the name Mesocricetus auratus (golden hamster). It matches the Rfam family "tRNA". Rfam says of the family: Transfer RNA (tRNA) molecules are approximately 80 nucleotides in length. Their secondary structure includes four short double-helical elements and three loops (D, anti-codon, and T loops). The record is from Rfam by way of RNAcentral. Lineage: Eukaryota; Metazoa; Chordata; Mammalia; Rodentia; Cricetidae.
GGUGUAGCUCAGUUGGUAGAGCACUUGCCUGGCACUCAUGAUGUCCUGAGUUCAUUCCCCAGCAUC